This 253-nucleotide ribosomal RNA is filed under the name uncultured bacterium. Its description in RNAcentral is "partial 16S ribosomal RNA". It matches the Rfam family "Bacterial small subunit ribosomal RNA", at positions 524 to 776 of the family's 1533-position model. The record is from RNAcentral.
UACGUAGGGUGCAAGCGUUGUCCGGAAUUAUUGGGCGUAAAGAGCUUGUAGGCGGUUUGUCACGUCUGCUGUGAAAUUUCGGGGCUCAACCCCGAACUUGCAGUGGGUACGGGCAGACUAGAGUGUGGUAGGGGAGACUGGAAUUCCUGGUGUAGCGGUGAAGUGCGCAGAUAUCAGGAGGAACACCGAUGGCGAAGGCAGGUCUCUGGGCCAUAACUGACGCUGAGAAGCGAAAGCAUGGGGAGCGAACAGG